Long non-coding RNA from Oncorhynchus tshawytscha (Chinook salmon), 945 nucleotides. Lineage: Eukaryota; Metazoa; Chordata; Actinopteri; Salmoniformes; Salmonidae. The record is from Ensembl.
GGGGAAGAGUGGGUAGGUGAGGCUGUGUUUUUAUGCCCCUCCCCCAACCUUUAACUGAAGAGGUUGUGCUGUCUCAAAACAAAACUAUACACGCCACACUAAGAAGAGCCAACAUCACUGCUGCCUUGCUACUGUAUCAGUCCAGUGUCAAGACUCCACCGGAAGAAAGCCAAGACAGGCAAACCUGAAGAGGAUGGAGAUUGGUAGGAGCACUGAUCGGGACAUCGCUGACGAUUGCGUGGUCUGUCUAUCUGCUAGAGCUUCUGUGGUCCUUCCCUGCGCCCACCGCUGCCUGUGCCUUCGCUGCGCCCAGCGGGUCAAGGCCGACUUUGGAAACUGCCCGCUGUGUCGCCAGUCAAUCAGAUACAGCGACGAGGACAGGGGGAUAAAAAGUUGACCAACCGAUGGGGAAAGGAGGGAGAAAAGCAAAGAUGAUCUAAUCAGCAUUAUAUUAGUUCAUAAUAUUGUAAACAUUUCCCUUAUGUUCUUUUUUAUAUCAACUGUCUAUUUUUCAAAGUGACUUAUGUUAUAAUGUAGGCAUGUAUACUACAUGUAGGCAUGAAUACUUGAUGAAGAACGUCUCACUGUAGAUGUUUUAUUUGUCAAUGAAUCCAAAUGUAAAUAAAUGCACCCAAAAUGAAGACCGUUUCUCUUUUAUUUGAUAACUUUAAAUAAAUAGGCCUAGGGAAAUUACAGUCAGACAACUAUGUAGCCAACUGAAGAAAAAAAUAGUUCAUUCUCAAAAUGAAAGCAUAUCAAUAUUUCUGGUACUACAAACUCAGUUUCUAUACCAGGCUACAGCAGAGAUCUUGUGCAACUUCGGUUGCAAUAUGCAGUAGGUCAUGUCAGGAUGAGCCUGCAGGAAGGGUACCACAUGAGGGAGGAGGAUGUCUUCCCUGUAACACACAGUGUUGAGAUUGCCAGUGUUCUGCCAUGGCCAGUGAA